This 444-nucleotide ribosomal RNA is filed under the name uncultured Allobrachymonas sp. RNAcentral describes it as "bacterial SSU rRNA". It matches the Rfam family "Bacterial small subunit ribosomal RNA", at positions 936 to 1382 of the family's 1533-position model. Lineage: Bacteria; Pseudomonadati; Pseudomonadota; Betaproteobacteria; Burkholderiales; Comamonadaceae. The record is from RNAcentral.
AUGAUGUGGUUUAAUUCGAUGCAAACGACGAAAACCUUAACCCACCUUUGACAUGGCAGGAACUCCUAAAGAGAUUUGGAGUGCUCGAAAGAGAACCUGCACACAGGUGCUGCAUGGCUGUCGUCAGCUCGUGUCGUGAGAUGUUGGGUUAAGUCCCGCAACGAGCGCAACCCUUGCCAUUAGUUGCUACGAAAGGGCACUCUAAUGGGACUGCCGGUGACAAACCGGAGGAAGGUGGGGAUGACGUCAAGUCCUCAUGGCCCUUAUAGGUGGGGCUACACACGUCAUACAAUGGCCGGUACAGAGGGUAGCCAACCCGCGAGGGGGAGCCAAUCCCACAAAGCCGGUCGUAGUCCGGAUCGCAGUCUGCAACUCGACUGCGUGAAGUCGGAAUCGCUAGUAAUCGCGGAUCAGCAUGUCGCGGUGAAUACGUUCCCGGGUCUU